UGGGGAAUAUUGGGCAAUGGGCGCAAGCCUGACCCAGCAACGCCGCGUGAGGGAAGGAGGUCUUCGGAUUGUAAACCUCUGUCCUUGGGGACGAAAAAAAUGACGGUACCCGAGGAGGAAGCUCCGGCUAAGUACGUUCCAGCAGCCGCGGUAAUAAGUAGGGAGCGAGCGUUGUCCGGAAUUACUGGGCGUAAAGGGUGGGUAGGCGGCAGGUCAAGUCAGAUGUGAAAUCCCCGGGCUUAACUCGGGUGGUGCAUUUGAAACUGGUCUGCUUGAGUGCAGGAGAGGAAAGCGGAAUUCCUAGUGUAGCGGUGAAAUGCGUAGAUAUUAGGAGGAACACCAGUGGCGAAGGCGGCUUUCUGGACUGUAACUGACGCUGAGGCACGAAAGCGUGGGGAGCAAACAGG
Molecule: ribosomal RNA, 407 nt
Filed under: uncultured prokaryote
Also listed under: 1 other name
Description: bacterial SSU rRNA
Rfam family: Bacterial small subunit ribosomal RNA
Source: RNAcentral